AUUGAACGCUGGCGGCAGGCCUAACACAUGCAAGUCGAGCGAGCGGCGGACGGGUGAGUAAUGUCUGGGAAACUGCCUGAUGGAGGGGGAUAACUACGGGAAAAGGUAGCUAAUACCGCAUACCAUCAGAUGUGCCCAGGUGGGAUUAGCUGGUGGCGGGGGUAAUGGCUCACCUAGGCGACGAUCCCUAGCUGGUCUGAGCGGAUGAUCAGCAACACUGGGACUGAGACACGGCCCAGACUCCUACGGGAGGCAGCAGUGGGGAAUAUUGCACAAUGGGCGAAAGCCUGAUGCAGCCAUGCCGCGUGUGUGAAGAAGGCCUUCGGGUUGUAAAGCACUUUCAGCGGGGAGGCGUUACCCGCAGAAGAAGCACCGGCUAACUCCGUGCCAGCCGCCGCGGUAAUAC
This 406-nucleotide ribosomal RNA is filed under the name uncultured bacterium. RNAcentral describes it as "partial 16S ribosomal RNA". It matches the Rfam family "Bacterial small subunit ribosomal RNA", at positions 29 to 526 of the family's 1533-position model. The record is from RNAcentral.